AUGAGAUGGACAGGGUGGGGGCCCACACCCCAGGCUACUCGGACAGCAGGGGUCAAUCCCGACGGGCUGGAGAAACCUCAGGCCCCAAGUGCACCAAUGGCCCAGAUGGCUGGAGACCUCUUCCUUUGUCUCCUCUGUCUCCAAGAUCCAGGAGCCCAGGCUCAGCCUGCGAACCACCUGGCCCUGGCCCUGGAGGGGGAUGGGGAGGGUCUGUGACCAUCCUGGGGGGUAUCUGCGCCCCCUUCUUCUACCUGGGGACAAGGGCGCGAAGUCCCAUGCAGCCCCCAUGCAGCCUCACGUGCCUGACGAUGGGAGCCAGGCCAGCCCCUCACACGGGUGCUCCUGGGCAGCCUCUCUGGUAGCCUGGACGAGUCACCCCAGGGGCACAUGCUCCAGGCAGCCCCCUCACCUCAGGGGGCAUGGGAGGCGCUGGGGGUCUUCAGCUGGUGAUGGGGUGACUGACGAGGAUCAGCCCCAACCCCGGGGUCCUCUGGCCGCUGGCAACCGGAGCACUCCCCCAGUUGGAGCUGAACCA
Molecule: long non-coding RNA, 535 nt
Filed under: Homo sapiens (human)
Lineage: Eukaryota; Metazoa; Chordata; Mammalia; Primates; Hominidae
Description: HSALNT0156896
Source: RNAcentral